This 265-nucleotide ribosomal RNA is filed under the name uncultured prokaryote. RNAcentral describes it as "partial 16S ribosomal RNA". It matches the Rfam family "Bacterial small subunit ribosomal RNA", at positions 524 to 788 of the family's 1533-position model. The record is from RNAcentral.
UACGUAGGUGGCAAGCGUUAUCCGGAAUUAUUGGGCGUAAAGAGCGCGCAGGUGGUUGAUUAAGUCUGAUGUGAAAGCCCACGGCUUAACCGUGGAGGGUCAUUGGAAACUGGUCGACUUGAGUGCAGAAGAGGGAAGUGGAAUUCCAUGUGUAGCGGUGAAAUGCGUAGAGAUAUGGAGGAACACCAGUGGCGAAGGCGGCUUCCUGGUCUGUAACUGACACUGAGGCGCGAAAGCGUGGGGAGCAAACAGGAUUAGAUACCCG